This 761-nucleotide long non-coding RNA is filed under the name Ictidomys tridecemlineatus (thirteen-lined ground squirrel). Its description in RNAcentral is "lncRNA (ENSSTOG00000029440.1)". The record is from RNAcentral. Lineage: Eukaryota; Metazoa; Chordata; Mammalia; Rodentia; Sciuridae.
UACUUCUCAUUUUGCUGUCAAAAAUUCUAGAAUUUGUAUUUCAGAAAUUCAAAUGUGAGCAUUUUUGUUCAGAAGAAAGUGGAGGAAGAGCAGGUAGCGGAGACUAAAUUUCUAGUAUUCUAGAUCAUCUUGGUCAUUUUCUCCGUGAGAAAUUGCCAAUAUUUUAUAAAAUUUUCCCACCUUCUCAGUACUUGGUGCAGGCAGUGAGAAAAUAGGGGUCUUGGCUGUGAGGCUGGAAUGAGAGCAUGCUGUGACCUGAAGCAAAACGUCCACUGGCCAGGGGUCCCUGCCUCCAGGAGAAGGAGAGGGGUCUAAUCUCCAGGUGCCCCUGGCCUCCCACAAUGAUCGGGAAACGGUAGAGAAGAUCAUAAUAAAAGAGCUGGGUUACACAGAGUGUGGGAACCAUGCUGAGCCUCCGUCAGUCAGCAACCCUCAUCAGCCAGUGAGGAAAACAGUUCUCUGGGAGUUCUCUCAGGAGACCACAAGGGGACCCGGCCAAGAUAACUUGGUAGGAGUUUUCCAUUUUCAAGAGUUUGACUCUCAAAAAUGACUAAGAAAGGAAGAUGUGGCCUUUUCCAAGGUAUUUGACCAAAGCAAUGGACGUCAAUGACUACAUAAGACUUGAAGAGAAAACCGUGUCAACAGGAGAUUGAGUGAGUAGCCACAGCCCUGAGCAGAGGAAAUCUUGUGACAACAUACAGCAGCCUGGGCCUGACCCAAAGAGACUUCUCGGGUCGGUAAUAACCACCUCAAUAAGCGGU